Molecule: ribosomal RNA, 253 nt
Filed under: uncultured bacterium
Lineage: Bacteria
Description: partial 16S ribosomal RNA
Rfam family: Bacterial small subunit ribosomal RNA
Source: RNAcentral
UACGUAGGGGUCGAGCGUUGUUCGGAAUUACUGGGCGUAAAGGGCGCGUAGGCGGUUUUGUCAGUCAGGCGUGAAAGCCCUGGGCUCAACCUGGGAUGUGCGCUUGAUACUGCAAGGCUUGAGUGCAGGAGAGGAUGGUGGAAUUCCCAGUGUAGAGGUGAAAUUCGUAGAUAUUGGGAAGAACACCGGUGGCGAAGGCGGCCAUCUGGACUGCAACUGACGCUGAGGCGCGAAAGCGUGGGGAGCAAAUAGG